Molecule: unclassified non-coding RNA, 1426 nt
Filed under: Hevea brasiliensis (rubber tree)
Lineage: Eukaryota; Viridiplantae; Streptophyta; Magnoliopsida; Malpighiales; Euphorbiaceae
Source: RNAcentral
UAUGUGGGGUAAAAUGGUGCAGGUAAUAGUCCCUUGUGCUUGUGUUGGUACAUGUUAAAUUUCUUUUUCUGCAAAGAAAUUUCUAUUAGAAGUUAUCAUCUAUGUGGAACUUUAUACUGUAUAUAUGGUGCUUUGGGCUCUAAGUAAACUGUUUCACUAAGUAAGCUGUUCAUGAUUGGAAUAAAUGCUUGCCAUAUUUUUGUUUAUUAAUAUUAAUUAAUGAGUUUGAGCACAAGUAAUAAGAUCAUUUAAUGAACAGAUGAACAUGAACAUUGGUGAGCUUGGCUCAAUUAUGUCGGUGAACAUACUUAUUUUGAGCUCACUUGUGUUUGUUUAAAGUUUUCAAUAACAGUUGGUCAUUAAUGAGUAUUAGAAAUUUAGAAUGCUAAAAUUCAUAAUUGUGCUGAUAAAUUUUGUUGAAAUUGGUUCUAGAAUGUAGUAUAUUACAAUAUUUUUUCAACAAUAGGUCAUUUGUCUGAAAUGGAGCUCCAAAGUGAAAGACAGUAUUUAUAAAAUAUAUGAACAUUAUCAACUGAAAGAAGCACAAAAAUAAAAGGAAGCAGUAUGGGACAGAAUCGAACAUUCCUUGCAUGAAACUAAUGAGAGGGCUGUUUCCACUAUCAAAUGAGUAGGCAUCCCUUUUCUCUGCAUUGUGAAGUGAAGCAUCUGUAGCCUCUGUGUGGGCAGGUCCCAGCAUUAUUUAUUUUUUCAUAAAUUCUUAUUAUUUGAAUAAAUAAUGAAAAAGCAGUCCAUUUCUUUUGGGGCUUGUUUUUCUUUUGAGCUGAGCUCGAACAAGAGGGGCUAGAGCUUGUUUGAGCUUGAGAUGGGAUUAAGUUGGGUAUUAAAGAGACUAGGCCAAGUUUGAACAGCACAAAACUCACUUCCGUUACUCUGUUUAUACCUUUAAUGUUGAACCUAGGAAUUCCUGAAAUUCAUGUGCAAGAGUGCUGUUUCUGAGCUCCUAGUUGUGUGAUGCUGUCUCCUUCCUUGUUUAGUUGACAAUUAUUGACAUUGGCCACUGUCUGUAAAGGAUUGGAGUUGCUUGUUUUCUUGCAUCUUGGAGUUUCUGUUUAACUUUAAGUUGCUUUGCUGCUUCUCAAGGAUGGACAAUUUGAUCGGGAGAACUUUAAUUGUGGACCAAGCAUGCCUUCAUCACCUGGAGAAACACUUUGUGCUGCAGUUUCUGCUUGCACAUGGGUGGAACCUCAUGGAAAGUGUACAGUUGCAUUCGCUCUUGCAUGGUCAUCUCCAAAGAUAAAGUUCUCGAAGGGAAGCUCAUACCAUAGGAGAUACACCAAAUUUUAUGGCACUUCUGAAAGAGCGGCUCAGAAUUUGGUGCAUGAUGCACUGACACAUUACAAGUGGUGGGAGGAAGAGAUUGAGAAAUGGCAAAAUCCUAUCCUCAAGGAUGAAAGGCUACCAGAAU